AGCGAACGCUGGCGGCAGGCUUAACACAUGCAAGUCGAGCGGGCACUUCGGUGUCAGCGGCAGACGGGUGAGUAACACGUGGGAACGUACCCUUUGGUUCGGAAUAACGCUGGGAAACUAGCGCUAAUACCGGAUACGCCCUUUUGGGGAAAGGCUUGCUGCCGAAGGAUCGGCCCGCGUCUGAUUAGCUAGUUGGUGGGGUAAUGGCCUACCAAGGCGACGAUCAGUAGCUGGUCUGAGAGGAUGAUCAGCCACACUGGGACUGAGACACGGCCCAGACUCCUACGGGAGGCAGCAGUGGGGAAUAUUGGACAGUGGGCGCAAGCCUGAUCCAGCCAUGCCGCGUGAGUGAUGAAGGCCUUAGGGUUGUAAAGCUCUUUUGUCCGGGACGAUAAUGACGGUACCGGAAGAAUAAGCCCCGGCUAACUUCGUG
Molecule: ribosomal RNA, 433 nt
Filed under: uncultured bacterium
Lineage: Bacteria
Description: partial 16S ribosomal RNA
Rfam family: Bacterial small subunit ribosomal RNA
Source: RNAcentral